This 1376-nucleotide ribosomal RNA is filed under the name Pheidole tristis. Its description in RNAcentral is "16S ribosomal RNA". The record is from RNAcentral. Lineage: Eukaryota; Metazoa; Arthropoda; Insecta; Hymenoptera; Formicidae.
UGGAUAAAGUUAGAAAAUUAUGAUUUAUUUUAUAAUUAAUUUUUAUUGGUUAGUAAGUGAAUGAUAUAUGAUAUUAGAUUAAAUAAAAUUAUAUAAAGAGGGAGUAUUGUAAAAGAAGAUUAGGUAAAUAUUCUAAAGUAAAUUUAAAUUAUUGUACCUUUAGUAUCAGGGAUUAUUAAAAUAAUAUUCUUUUAUAUGUAGAAUUUCUCGAAGUUAGAAGAGCGAAUAAAAUUAUUAUAGUUAAUGUGGUAUAAUUAUUAUAAAUAUUUUAUUAGUGAAUAUAUUUUAGUCAAUUUUAAGGAUAUCUAGUUUUUUUUGAUUUAAAUUUAAUUUAGUUUUAAUUUUUAAUAUUUUUUAUUUGGAUAUGAAUAAUAUUAUUAAAUUAAAAAUAUAAGUUAUGGGAUAAUCUAUAAUUUUUUUUUAAAAUUAAGGUUAAAAAAUGUAGUUAAAUUAUUUGGAAUAUUUAUAGUAUUUGAAUUUAUUAGUAAAAAUUUAAUAAUUUAUAAAAGAAUGGUAAAAAUUUUAUAAUGAUUUUAAUUAAGUAUUUAAUAGGAUAAGAAAAUAUUUAUUAUAAUAAAAAAGGUAAAAUAAUAAUGAUAGUAUUAGUAAAAUAAGAUAAGAUAAUUAUUUUAAAAGUUAAUAGUAGAUAAAUUAGAUUUUAGUAAUUAGGCAAAAAAGUAAGUUCAUCUGUUUAAUAAAAACAUAGUUUUUUGAUUAUAAUUUAAGAUCGUUUCUGCUCGAUGAAUGAAGAUUUAAAUGGCUGCAGUAUUUUAACUGUACAAAGGUAGCAUAAUCAGUAGUUUUUUAAUUGAAAACUGGAAUGAAUGGGAGGAUGAGAUUUAUACUGUCUUAGAUUUAAAAGUUGAAUUUAUUAUUUAAGUAAAAAUACUUAAAUAUAUAUAUGGGACGAGAAGACCCUAUAGAAUUUUAUAUAAAUUAUUAAAAAAUAGGUUAAUUUAUGAGAGUUUAAUAAGUUUAUAUUUUAUUGGGAGGAUAAGUAAAUUAAUAAAACUUUAGUUGAGAUAUGAGUUCAUUGAUUUAUGAUAUUAGAGUUAAAUGAGUGGCUGUAUAAAGUUUAGAAAGAAUUAAUUACCUUAGGGAUAACAGCAUAAUAUCUUUAGAGAGAUCUUAUUAAUAAAGAUGAUUGUGACCUCGAUGUUGAAUUAAGAUAAAAAUUAAAUGAAGGAGUUUAAUAUUUAAGUCUGUUCGACUUUUAAAAUCUUACAUGAUUUGAGUUUAGAUCGGUGUGAGCCAGAUCGGUUUCUAUCUAUAUAAAAUUUAAAUAUAUUUGUACGAAAGGACUUUAUAUUUUGAUUAAAUUAAUAAGAUAAAUUAUAUUAUUUUGGCAGAUUAGUGCAUUAAAUUUAGAAUUUAAU